Molecule: transfer RNA, 88 nt
Filed under: Synergistaceae bacterium
Lineage: Bacteria; Thermotogati; Synergistota; Synergistia; Synergistales; Synergistaceae
Description: tRNA-Ser
Rfam family: tRNA
About the family: Transfer RNA (tRNA) molecules are approximately 80 nucleotides in length.
Source: RNAcentral
GGAGAGCUGUCCGAGUGGUCGAUGGUGACUGACUUGAAAUCAGUUGGGUGUCACAGCCCCAGAGGUUCGAAUCCUCUGCUCUCCGCCA